GAGAGAGGCUCGCAGCACGGAAGACUGCUAAUCUUCAUGACCUUGGUUGGACCCCAGGGCUCACUCA
RNAcentral lists this transfer RNA (67 nucleotides) under Lophonectes gallus (crested flounder). RNAcentral describes it as "tRNA-Ser". The record is from RNAcentral. Lineage: Eukaryota; Metazoa; Chordata; Actinopteri; Pleuronectiformes; Bothidae.